CACACAGGUGCUGCAUGGCUGUCGUCAGCUCGUGUCGUGAGAUGUUGGGUUAAGUCCCGCAACGAGCGCAACCCUCGUCCUAUGUUGCCAGCGGGUCAUGCCGGGACUCAUGGGAGACUGCCGGGGUCAAACUCGGAGGAAGGUGGGGAUGAUGUCAAGUCAGCAUGGCCUUUAUAUCCUGGGCUACACACACGCUACAAUGGCCAACACAAUAGGUUGCUAAGCCGCGAGGUGGCGCCAAUCCAUAAAGUUGGUCUCAGUUCAGAUUGUAGGCUGCAACCCGCCUGCAUGAAGAUGGAGUUGCUAGUAACCGCAGGUCAGCUAUACUGCGGUGAGUACGUUCCCGGGGCUU
RNAcentral lists this ribosomal RNA (352 nucleotides) under uncultured Sedimentibacter sp. RNAcentral's name for it is "bacterial SSU rRNA". It matches the Rfam family "Bacterial small subunit ribosomal RNA", at positions 1031 to 1382 of the family's 1533-position model. Lineage: Bacteria; Bacillati; Bacillota; Tissierellia. The record is from RNAcentral.